GUCUUUUUGAAAUAUAAUUUAAAGUCUAAUCUGCCCACUGAUUAAGUAUUAAAGGGCUGCAGUAUUUUGACUGUACAAAGGUAGCAUAAUAAAUAGUCUUUUAAUUGGAGACUUGUAUGAAAGAUUUGAUGAAAUAUAAACUGUCUCUUAAAAAAUUAUAUAAUUUAAUUUUUUAGUUAAAAAGCUAAAAUAUUUUUAAAAGACGAGAAGACCCUAUAGAGUUUAAUAAUUUAUAUUUUUAAAAUUUUUUAUUAGUGUUUAAAUUAAAAAAGUAAAAAUUAUUUUAUUGGGGUGAUAGAAAAAUUUAAAAAACUUUUUUUAAAAAAUUUACAUUAAUAUAUGAAUAAAUGAUCCGUAAUUUACGAUUAAAAGAAAAAAUUACCUUAGGGAUAACAGCGUAAUUUUUUUUUUUAGUUCAAAUAAGAAAAAAAGUUUGCGACCUCGAUGUUGGAUUAAGAUAAAAUUUAAAUGCAAAAGUUUAAAAAUUUUGAUCUGUUCGAUCAUUAAAAUCUUACA
This 516-nucleotide ribosomal RNA is filed under the name Bhutanitis thaidina. RNAcentral's name for it is "partial 16S ribosomal RNA". The stretch from base 389 to 516 matches the Rfam family "Bacterial large subunit ribosomal RNA", at positions 2473 to 2600 of the family's 2925-position model. The record is from RNAcentral. Lineage: Eukaryota; Metazoa; Arthropoda; Insecta; Lepidoptera; Papilionidae.